GUCCUCCAUCUGUUGCGGGCAGAUAAAGUGGAUAUGGCUGUCGAACCCGCCUGCGGUCAGAAUGCGGCCCUCGCCCGCGAUGGCCUCGGUGCCGGGGCCGAUGAUGAUGUCGACGCCCGGCUGGGUGUCGGGGUUGCCCGCCUUGCCGAUCUUGUGGAUGCGCCCCUCGCGCAGGCCCACGUCGGCCUUGUAGAUGCCGGUAUGGUCCACGAUCAGCGCGUUGGUGAUGACCGUAUCAACCGCCCCUUCGGCGCGUGUCACCUGUGACUGUCCCAUGCCGUCGCGGAU
Molecule: small RNA, 288 nt
Organism: Sulfitobacter sp.
Lineage: Bacteria; Pseudomonadati; Pseudomonadota; Alphaproteobacteria; Rhodobacterales; Roseobacteraceae
Rfam family: 5' ureB small RNA
Source: Rfam